UAAUUGAGGUUUCAUUAAGGCCUAUUUUAGCAUUUAAUAGCUUUAAGGCUAGCAAUGUGCUAGACCGGAAAAAUAACGGAAGCUGGAAGUGCGCGCGCUCAUUAUUAACGAGCCGAGAACUUUCUUUCUUUCUGAGCUCCAAACCGGUUUUCCACGCAUUUUUCAGAUGGAAAACGCAGAAAAGGAAGAAGAACAAGCUACUACCGCUGUCAGCACUGCUCUGGAAAACAUCCUGAGAGGUUUAGACUUGCUGUCCAACGACAUGGAUCAAUUGGCAUUGCGAACCCAUCAGAAGCAAUGCGAUCUGCUCAUCUCUGUUAGCCACCCUGACAAAAAGGCAUUUCUCCAAGGAAAAUCCCAGAGGCAGUGAAGCAGCAGCAGACUGGACUGAGCCUAACCUGAGGCGUGAUGAGCAGAGAGAAAAUGAUGCAGCAUCAAACCUUGUUCACCUCCCAGAGAGAAACUUCAGCCUGUUCUCGAGUUGUCUUUCCCUUGUACCAGCUGGGAUCCAAACCCUGGAUUCACAGAGAGAAAAGCCACAGUAAAACAACAAUUUUUUUUUUUUUUUAGAUUUCUGCUUGAUAUUUUUGCAGUAGUAGAGAUAGAAUAUGUAGCAUGUGUAGUGACAGCAACCUGAGUUGCUAAUACAAAGGUGUUUUUUAAUUCUGUAUCAGACUUGGAAAAGGUUUUUGCUGUUGUAUUGUACAAUAUCGCCAUCUGCUGUUUUGACACUGAAAAAGUACUUUUUGUGUAUCUAACUUCAAUAUAAAUCACUACCAUUUUACCUGUACAUGUUGCUUAUUGACAUGUUCUGUUGUUCUUAUUGAUUGGUUUGACAGAACGUGUGAUAUUGGUAUAGGAA
Poeciliopsis prolifica (blackstripe livebearer) is the source of this 862-nucleotide long non-coding RNA. RefSeq lists it as uncharacterized. The transcript is spliced from 4 exons. NCBI's taxonomy places the organism in Eukaryota, Metazoa, Chordata, Actinopteri, Cyprinodontiformes, Poeciliidae. The record is from RefSeq and is a predicted model, not a curated record.